This 83-nucleotide transfer RNA is filed under the name Amycolatopsis bullii. RNAcentral's name for it is "tRNA-Pro". The record is from RNAcentral. Lineage: Bacteria; Bacillati; Actinomycetota; Actinomycetes; Pseudonocardiales; Pseudonocardiaceae.
CUCCGGGGUGGCCGAGGAGGGCGCGGGUUCCGGCUUGGGCUCGGGGGUGGUGUCCGGCUUGGGUUCCGGUUUCGGUUCGGGUG